UUUAUCGAAUCCAGUGGCAAACGGGUGAGUAACACGUAAACAACCUGCCUUCAGGAUGGGGACAACAGACGGAAACGACUGCUAAUACCGAAUACGUUCCACGGGCCGCAUGACCUGUGGAAGAAAGGGUAGCCUCUACCUGUAAGCUAUCGCCUGAAGAGGGGUUUGCGUCUGAUUAGGCAGUUGGUGAGGUAACGGCUCACCAAACCAACGAUCAGUAGCCGGUCUGAGAGGAUGAACGGCCACACUGGAACUGAGACACGGUCCAGACUCCUACGGGAGGCAGCAGUGGGGAAUCUUCCGCAAUGGACAAAAGUCUGACGGAGCAACGCCGCGUGAGUGAAGACGGCCUUCGGGUUGUAAAGCUCUGUGAUCCGGGACGAAAGAGCCUGAGGUUAAUAGCCUAAGGAAGUGACGGU
This 419-nucleotide ribosomal RNA is filed under the name uncultured bacterium. Its description in RNAcentral is "bacterial SSU rRNA". It matches the Rfam family "Bacterial small subunit ribosomal RNA", at positions 82 to 476 of the family's 1533-position model. The record is from RNAcentral.